UGAAUUCAUCUCCGGGGGUAGAGCACUGUUUCGGCUAGGGGGCCAUCCCGGCUUACCAACCCGAUGCAAACUGCGAAUACCGGAGAAUGUUAUCACGGGAGACACACGGCGGGUGCUAACGUCCGUCGUGAAGAGGGAAACAACCCAGACCGCCAGCUAAGGUCCCAAAGUCAUGGUUAAGUGGGAAACGAUGUGGGAAGGCCCAGACAGCCAGGAUGUUGGCUUAGAAGCAGCCAUCAUUUAAAGAAAGCGUAAUAGCUCACUGGUCGAGUCGGCCUGCGCGGAAGAUGUAACGGGGCUAAACCAUGCACCGAAGCUGCGGCAGCGACACUAUGUGUUGUUGGGUAGGGGAGCGUUCUGUAAGCCUGCGAAGGUGGCCUGUGAGGGUUGCUGGAGGUAUCAGAAGUGCGAAUGCUGACAUAAGUAACGAUAAAGCGGGUGAAAAGCCCGCUCGCCGGAAGACCAAGGGUUCCUGUCCAACGUUAAUCGGGGCAGGGUGAGUCGACCCCUAAGGCGAGGCCGAAAGGCGUAGUCGAUGGGAAACGGGUUAAUAUUCCCGUACUUGGUGUUACUGCGAAGGGGGGACGGAGAAGGCUAUGUUGGCCGGGCGACGGUUGUCCCGGUUUAAGCGUGUAGGUGUGUGUUCCAGGUAAAUCCGGUU
This 661-nucleotide ribosomal RNA is filed under the name Salmonella enterica. RNAcentral's name for it is "partial 23S ribosomal RNA". It matches the Rfam family "Bacterial large subunit ribosomal RNA", at positions 885 to 1547 of the family's 2925-position model. The record is from RNAcentral. Lineage: Bacteria; Pseudomonadati; Pseudomonadota; Gammaproteobacteria; Enterobacterales; Enterobacteriaceae.